UGUCCGGAUUAUUGGGCGUAAAGAGCUUGUAGGCGGUUUGUCGCGUCUGCUGUGAAAGGCCGGAGCUUAACUCCGUGUAUUGCAGUGGGUACGGGCAGACUAGAGUGCAGUAGGGGAGACUGGAAUUCCUGGUGUAGCGGUGGAAUGCGCAGAUAUCAGGAGGAACACCGAUGGCGAAGGCAGGUCUCUGGGCUGUAACUGACGCUGAGAAGCGAAAGCAUGGGGAGCGAACAGGAUUAGAUACCCUGGUAGUCCAUGCCGUAAACGUUGGGCACUAGGUGUGGGGGACAUUCCACGUUUUCCGCGCCGUAGCUAACGCAUUAAGUGCCCCGCCUGGGGAGUACGGCCGCAAGGCUAAAACUCAAAGAAAUUGACGGGGGCCCGCACAAGCGGCGGAGCAUGCGGAUUAAUUCGAUGCAACGCGAAGAACCUUACCAAGGCUUGACAUAUACUGGACCGCAUCAGAGAUGGUGUUUCCCUUCGGGGCUGGUAUACAGGUGGUGCAUGGUUGUCGUCAGCUCGUGUCGUGAGAAG
RNAcentral lists this ribosomal RNA (534 nucleotides) under uncultured bacterium. RNAcentral describes it as "bacterial SSU rRNA". It matches the Rfam family "Bacterial small subunit ribosomal RNA", at positions 542 to 1074 of the family's 1533-position model. The record is from RNAcentral.